AUAUCUCUCCGUACGGGAAGGAUGAGAAGCUUCGACUAAGGUUCGAUUCGAGCGCAGCGAGAAAGCGUUGCCGCAGGCAACGACCCGAAGGGCGAAGCGCGCAGCGCUGAGUCAUCCUUCCCCCACCACUA
Molecule: small RNA, 131 nt
Filed under: Salmonella enterica subsp. enterica serovar Pasing
Lineage: Bacteria; Pseudomonadati; Pseudomonadota; Gammaproteobacteria; Enterobacterales; Enterobacteriaceae
Description: RtT sRNA
Rfam family: RtT RNA
About the family: This family represents a bacterial cis-regulatory element known as RtT RNA.
Source: RNAcentral